UCUCUUCAAGCAAACACGGAUCUGUGCCUAGCGAUCCCCUGCUCUUCGGAGUCAGGGUCGAUUGCUUUGCAGCUCGAUAACUUAUAAGGAGCCAUCAACUUGUUAUGGUGUCAAUCAUCCUAUCGACAGGUCCAAGAGUAACUGUUGCUUCAGCCGCUUCAUUCGCUGUCGAAAGACGGCUUGAGUGUCGGGGCUGUUGCAUAACGAGACGCUAUAUUCCACCCCCCUUUUCCGAGACCGUCGGUCGGUGAGGUUGGGGAAAACCAUGGCCUACCUACAUAU
Fusarium oxysporum f. sp. cubense is the source of this 282-nucleotide non-coding RNA. Lineage: Eukaryota; Fungi; Ascomycota; Sordariomycetes; Hypocreales; Nectriaceae. The record is from Rfam.